This 76-nucleotide transfer RNA is filed under the name Mesotoga prima MesG1.Ag.4.2. RNAcentral describes it as "tRNA-Lys (TTT) (tRNA-Lys-TTT-1-1)". It matches the Rfam family "tRNA". From Rfam's summary of the family: Transfer RNA (tRNA) molecules are approximately 80 nucleotides in length. Their secondary structure includes four short double-helical elements and three loops (D, anti-codon, and T loops). RNAcentral also lists the same sequence under 19 other names. The record is from RNAcentral. Lineage: Bacteria; Thermotogati; Thermotogota; Thermotogae; Kosmotogales; Kosmotogaceae.
GACUCGCUAGCUCAGCAGGUAGAGCACCUGACUUUUAAUCAGGGGGUCGCGGGUUCGAAUCCCGCGCGAGUCACCA